AGGUCGCCUGAACAGUGAGCCUGUAGAAGACACACCUACUGAACCCAAAACAAAACCUCCAACAAGCACCGACAGGACACAGAAUUCAGGAUACCUGAUCAGAGGUGCUUUCACAAAGAGCGACAACAAACCAGCUGCGACAUCCACC
This is a long non-coding RNA of Trichomycterus rosablanca, 148 nucleotides long. RefSeq lists it as uncharacterized. The record is from RefSeq and is a predicted model, not a curated record. The transcript has 3 exons. NCBI's taxonomy places the organism in Eukaryota, Metazoa, Chordata, Actinopteri, Siluriformes, Trichomycteridae.